UGGGGAAUCUUGGACAAUGGGCGCAAGCCUGAUCCAGCCAUGCCGCGUGUGUGAAGAAGGUCUUCGGAUUGUAAAGCACUUUUAAGUUGGGAGGAAGGGUUGUAGAUUAAUACUCUGCAAUUUUGACGUUACCGACAGAAUAAGCACCGGCUAACUCUGUGCCAGCAGCCGCGGUAAUACAGAGGGUGCAAGCGUUAAUCGGAAUUACUGGGCGUAAAGCGCGCGUAGGUGGUUUGUUAAGUUGGAUGUGAAAUCCCCGGGCUCAACCUGGGAACUGCAUUCAAAACUGACUGACUAGAGUAUGGUAGAGGGUGGUGGAAUUUCCUGUGUAGCGGUGAAAUGCGUAGAUAUAGGAAGGAACACCAGUGGCGAAGGCGACCACCUGGACUGAUACUGACACUGAGGUGCGAAAGCGUGGGGAGCAAACAGGAUUAGAUACCCCCGUAGUCCCUGAGCGGGCUGGCAAGGCGCAU
This 473-nucleotide ribosomal RNA is filed under the name uncultured bacterium. RNAcentral's name for it is "bacterial SSU rRNA". It matches the Rfam family "Bacterial small subunit ribosomal RNA", at positions 355 to 825 of the family's 1533-position model. The record is from RNAcentral.